GAUGAACGCUGGCGGCGUGCCUAAUACAUGCGAGUCGAGCGAACAGAUGAGGAGCUUGCUCCUCUGACGUUAGCGGCGGACGGGUGAGUAACACGUGGAUAACCUACCUAUAGGACUGGGAUAACUUCGGGAAACCGGAGCUAAUACCGGAUAAUAUAUUGAACCGCAUGGUUCAAUAGUGAAAGACGGUUUUGCUGUCACUUAUAGAUGGAUCCGCGCCGCAUUAGCUAGUUGGUAAGGUAACGGCUUACCAAGGCAACGAUGCGUAGCCGACCUGAGAGGGUGAUCGGCCACACUGGAACUGAGACACGGUCCAGACUCCUACGGGAGGCAGCAGUAGGGAAUCUUCCGCAAUGGGCGAAAGCCUGACGGAGCAACGCCGCGUGAGUGAUGAAGGUCUUCGGAUCGUAAAACUCUGUUAUUAGGGAAGAACAAAUGUGUAAGUAACUAUGCACGUCUUGACGGUACCUAAUCAGAAAGCCACGGCUAACUACGUG
This 497-nucleotide ribosomal RNA is filed under the name uncultured bacterium. RNAcentral describes it as "partial 16S ribosomal RNA". It matches the Rfam family "Bacterial small subunit ribosomal RNA", at positions 28 to 507 of the family's 1533-position model. The record is from RNAcentral.